This 254-nucleotide ribosomal RNA is filed under the name uncultured bacterium. RNAcentral's name for it is "partial 16S ribosomal RNA". It matches the Rfam family "Bacterial small subunit ribosomal RNA", at positions 524 to 776 of the family's 1533-position model. The record is from RNAcentral.
UACGGAGGGAGCUAGCGUUGUUCGGAAUUACUGGGCGUAAAGCGCACGUAGGCGGCUUUGUAAGUUAGAGGUGAAAGCCUGGAGCUCAACUCCAGAAUUGCCUUUAAGACUGCAUCGCUUGAAUCCAGGAGAGGUGAGUGGAAUUCCGAGUGUAGAGGUGAAAUUCGUAGAUAUUCGGAAGAACACCAGUGGCGAAGGCGGCUCACUGGACUGGUAUUGACGCUGAGGUGGCGAAAGCGUGGGGAGCAAACAGG